This 1082-nucleotide ribosomal RNA is filed under the name groundwater metagenome. RNAcentral's name for it is "bacterial LSU rRNA". It matches the Rfam family "Bacterial large subunit ribosomal RNA", at positions 1850 to 2925 of the family's 2925-position model. The record is from RNAcentral.
GGCUGACGCCUGUCCAGCGCCGGAAGGUUAAGGGGAGGGGUUAGACGGAGAUUAUCGAAGUCGAAGCUCUGAACUGAAGCCCCGGUUAGCGACGGCCGUAACUAUAACGGUCCUAAGGUAGCGAAGCCCCUUGUCGGGUAAGUUCCGACCUGCAUGAAAGGCGUAACGACCUGGGCGCUGUCUCAACGAGGGACUCGGUGAAAUUGAAGUGCCCGUGAAGAUGCGGGCUACCCGCGACUGGACAAAAAGACCCCGUGGAGCUUUACUAUAGCUUGGCAUUGGAUUAAGGCUUAGCAUGUGUAGAAUAGGUGGGAGGCUGAGAAGCCCCGGCGUUAGCUGGGGUGGAGCCGCCGGUGAAAUACCACUCUUGUUGAGUUUUGAUUCUAACCCUUGAACAAGCAAGGAGACAGUGUCAGGUGGGUAGUUUGACUGGGGCGGUCGCCUCCUAAAAGGUAACGGAGGCGUCCAAAGGUCCCCUCAAGGUGGAUGGAAAUCACCUGUAGAGCGCAUUGGUAUAAGGGGGCUUGACUGUGAGACCUACAAGUCGAUCAGGGACGAAAGUCGGGCAAAGUGAUCCCACGGUGCUGUGUGGAAAGGCCGUGGCUUAACGGAUAAAAGCUACCCCGGGGAUAACAGGCUUAUUCCGCCCAAGAGUUCACAUCGACGGCGGAGUUUGGCACCUCGAUGUCGGCUCACCACAUCCUGGGGCUGGAGAAGGCCCCAAGGGUUGGUCUGUUCGCCCAUUAAAGUGGUACGUGAGCUGGGUUCAGACCGUCGUGAGACAGGUCGGUCUCUAUCCGUCGUGGGCGCAGGAGAUUUGAGAGGAGCUCUCCUUAGUACGAGAGGACCAGGAGGGACAGACCUCUGGUUUGCCAGUUGUCCCGCCAGGGGCAUUGCUGGGUAGCUAUGUCUGGAUCGGAUAAGCACUGAAAGCAUCUUAAGUGCGAAGCCGACCUCAAGAUGAGAUCUCCCACCGGUUAACCGGGUAAGACUGCAGCGAGACUAGCUGCUUGAUAGGCGGCAGGUGUAAGCGGAGCAAUCCGUUCAGCUAAGCCGUACUAAUCGGUCGAGGGCUUUUGCAC